AGUAUUAAAGGCAACGCCUGCCCAGUGAACCAUUAAACGGCCGCGGUAUCCUAACCGUGCAAAGGUAGCGUAAUCACUUGUCUAUUAAUUAUAGACCUGUAUGAAAGGCAAAAUGAGGGCCUAACUGUCUCUUAUGAUAAAUCAAUUAAACUGAUCUUCCAGUCCAAAAGCUGAAAUACCUACAUAAGACCAGAAGACCCUGUGAAGCUUAAACAAAACUACUAAACCUUAUAGUAAUUACUUUCGGUUGGGGCGACCUUGGAAACAAAAAGAACUUCCAAACCUAUGACCUACAAUCAUAUAAUCAGGCCUAUUAGCCAAAAUAAGACCCAGCACAGCUGAUAAAUAGACCAAGUUACUCCAGGGAUAACAGCGCUAUCUUCUUCAAGAGCCCAUAUCAAAAAGAAGGUUUACGACCUCGAUGUUGGAUCAGGACAUCCUAUUGGUGCAACCGCUAUUAAGGGUUCGUUUGUUCAACGAUUAAUAGUCCU
RNAcentral lists this ribosomal RNA (491 nucleotides) under Duberria variegata. Its description in RNAcentral is "partial 16S ribosomal RNA". It matches the Rfam family "Bacterial large subunit ribosomal RNA", at positions 1842 to 2597 of the family's 2925-position model. Lineage: Eukaryota; Metazoa; Chordata; Lepidosauria; Squamata. The record is from RNAcentral.